This 253-nucleotide ribosomal RNA is filed under the name uncultured bacterium. RNAcentral describes it as "partial 16S ribosomal RNA". It matches the Rfam family "Bacterial small subunit ribosomal RNA", at positions 524 to 776 of the family's 1533-position model. The record is from RNAcentral.
UACGUAGGGUGCAAGCGUUAAUCGGAAUUACUGGGCGUAAAGCGUGCGCAGGCGGCUUUGCAAGACAGAUGUGAAAUCCCCGGGCUUAACCUGGGAACUGCAUUUGUGACUGCAAGGCUAGAGUACGGUAGAGGGGGAUGGAAUUCCGCGUGUAGCAGUGAAAUGCGUAGAUAUGCGGAGGAACACCGAUGGCGAAGGCAAUCCCCUGGACCUGUACUGACGCUCAUGCACGAAAGCGUGGGGAGCAAACAGG